RNAcentral lists this transfer RNA (25 nucleotides) under Coptotettix longjiangensis. Its description in RNAcentral is "partial tRNA-Ile". The record is from RNAcentral. Lineage: Eukaryota; Metazoa; Arthropoda; Insecta; Orthoptera; Tetrigidae.
GUAAUUUACCUACACUAACCUAUUA